RNAcentral lists this unclassified non-coding RNA (281 nucleotides) under Phoma sp. Its description in RNAcentral is "partial contains 5.8S ribosomal RNA, internal transcribed spacer 2, and large subunit ribosomal RNA". The stretch from base 1 to 71 matches the Rfam family "5.8S ribosomal RNA", at positions 84 to 154 of the family's 154-position model. The record is from RNAcentral. Lineage: Eukaryota; Fungi; Ascomycota; Dothideomycetes; Pleosporales; Didymellaceae.
GUGAGUCAUCGAAUCUUUGAACGCACAUUGCGCCCCUUGGUAUUCCAUGGGGCAUGCCUGUUCGAGCGUCAUUUUGUACCCUCAAGCACUGCUUGGUGUUGGGCGUUUGUCCUGCAAAGGACUCGCCUGAAAGCGAUUGGCGGCCAACGUACUGGUGGUAGAGCGCAGCACAAUUCGCGUCUCUCCCUUCUACGAUGGCGACCAUGAAGCCUUAUUCAAACGUUUGACCUCGGAUCAGGUAGGGAUACCCGCUGAACUUAAGCAUAUCAAUAAGCGGAGGA